Molecule: ribosomal RNA, 439 nt
Filed under: uncultured bacterium
Lineage: Bacteria
Description: partial 16S ribosomal RNA
Rfam family: Bacterial small subunit ribosomal RNA
Source: RNAcentral
CUACGGGGUGCAGCAGUGGGGAAUCUUAGACAAUGGGCGCAAGCCUGAUCUAGCCAUGCCGCGUGAGCGAUGAAGGCCUUAGGGUUGUAAAGCUCUUUCAGCGAGGAAGAUAAUGACUGUACUCGCAGAAGAAGCCCCGGCUAACUCCGUGCCAGCAGCCGCGGUAAUACGGAGGGGGCUAGCGUUGUUCGGAAUUACUGGGCGUAAAGCGCACGUAGGCGGAUCAGAAAGUCAGAGGUGAAAUCCCAGGGCUCAACCUUGGAACUGCCUUUGAAACUCCUGAUCUUGAGUUCGAGAGAGGUGAGUGGAAUUCCGAGUGUAGAGGUGAAAUUCGUAGAUAUUCGGAGGAACACCAGUGGCGAAGGCGGCUCACUGGCUCGAUACUGACGCUGAGGUGCGAAAGCGUGGGGAGCAAACAGGAUUAGAUACCCGCGUAGUC